CUUCACUAGACCCCUGCAUGCGAUUCACAGUAUUUAGCAGAGGACUGGGGGACAUAUCUCAGGACCUAGAGGACAUAUUUAAUGUACAAGGAUUUCUGAAAAUGUCCUGUUUGAGAAGGGAGAUUGUGGGAGCACUGGUCCUAUAACCAGCCCCGCUUACAGGAAGCAUGGAAAACAAGAGGAAAUUAUUAUUAUUUUUUUUUUAUGAAGUGCACUUUACGGUAAAAAUGUAAUCUAUUCUAUAGGUCGUUACGAUUAAACUGAU
Hyla sarda is the source of this 265-nucleotide long non-coding RNA. RefSeq lists it as uncharacterized. NCBI's taxonomy places the organism in Eukaryota, Metazoa, Chordata, Amphibia, Anura, Hylidae. The transcript is spliced from 3 exons. The record is from RefSeq and is a predicted model, not a curated record.